Molecule: long non-coding RNA, 2211 nt
Organism: Ctenopharyngodon idella (grass carp)
Lineage: Eukaryota; Metazoa; Chordata; Actinopteri; Cypriniformes; Xenocyprididae
Exons: 4
Source: RefSeq, a predicted model, not a curated record
UAUGAAUUCACUGGAAAGAAAACUUUUGACAAAGGUUUAUGCUAGAGAAACUAAAAAAUCAUGUUUAAAAUUGAUAAAAUGGUUGCAAAUGAUUGGCUUGCUGAAACGCAAAAUUAAAUGCAAGAACUGUGGGCAUAAAAUGAACAUGGUUGCCUCCCAGACCAAGGAUUAUGUCAUCUGGGAGUGUCGACGUAAAAGAUGUGGACGGUUGAAAAGAAGUGUUAGGUCAAAGUCACUCUUCUCACAAUCACACUGCAGUCUAUUCACAUGGAUGAAGUACAUACAUAGAUUCGCACAGGGUUUACAUCUACGGCAAGUAGACAUGCUUCAAGAUGGCAUUGCAAAGAGCACAGUAACACUUUCUAUGAUGUCAAAGAAACUCAGAAGAAUUUGUGUAAAAAGCCUGGAAAAGCACAGAAAGAAAAAGAGGCAAAAAGUUGGUGGAGUUAAUGUCAUAGUUCACAUUGAUGAGAGCAAGUUCUGCCAUAAACGCAAGUAUGCAAGAGGACGCUUUGGUAACACCUGGAAGAGAAAGAGAACAUGGGUUUUUGGUAUACUUGAAAUCAAAGCUGCAAGCAGACGUCCAAUUCUUCGCCUUGUGAAAAAAAGAAACAAGGAAACCCUUGUUCCAAUCAUCAAAAAACAUGUAAAAAGAGAAAGUCUUGUAGUGAGUGAUGAGUGGAGAGCAUACACCAGCCUUUCUCAGGAGGGCUACAAGCAUGUGAGAGUCAACCACAGCCAGAAUUAUGUAGAUCCUCAAACAGGACUACACACUCAAAACAUUGAGAGAGCGUGGCAGACAUAUAAGAGGGAAAUUUGGCGUAUGCGGGGGAAUCGGUCUGAGAAGGCCUUAAAAAAACAGCUCUGCUUCAUUGAGUGGACUUACUGGUUAGCCAGAAGACAUAAACAUGGUGUACUUGGAAGACUUCUCAAGGACAUAAGGAAUGUAAGUAACCACAGAUCAGUUUAAGACCCCCUUACUAUCAUGAAAGGCAGAAUUAAUUAAUUUUUAUUUUCAUAUUUUACAUAUUUUUUGUUAUUUUAUUUUAUUAUUUUUAUUAUUUAUUUUAUUUUGCUUUGGUGUUGUUGGCCUAGGGACAAUAAAUUUGAAUUGAAGUUUUUUUUUUUUUUUUUUUUCCUACAGUUCAUCCAAUAACACUGCAUAGUAAAGACUUUCAUUAAUUGUAGUGGUGGCAGUGCAGUGCAGCAUGUUAGUUAGUUUGUUUGUUUUUUCAUUUCAUUUUUGCUACACAUAAUCACAGUUCAGAUCUGAUAGCCUUAUGAUAAGCCUCUCCUUCUUUUUGUAUGUGAAAUCAAACCUAUGAGAUUUUGUACACACUAUUUGUAGUUCUGCAAUGUCUCUUUAGACACAAUGUAAUCUUCACCACAUUAAUAAUUAAUAAUUAACAAAAAUAAACAUUCUAUAAAGUUAUGCAGUGGAUAAAAGUGCAGAGCUGAGGGUGAAGUUACGCUCUAAACAUUAUUUGUGUUUGUUUUAUCAUUUGACAGAUGGGAACAUGGAGAUAAUGACCACUGGAGAUGAGGAGCCACAGGCCAUGAUGCUGGACUCCAGCACUGAUACUAGCACUGAUGACUGAAAAAUAUUGUAAAAUAACAAACAGCUCAUCCCCUUUUCUGCAAAGAAAGACUGAAUGUAGGAAACAGGAUGUUAGCUAAGUUUGAGUAGAUUGUAAGUAGAUACGUUUUGUUUUUCAUAAUUUAAAGUUCAAGUUGCUUUGCCCCUACGAUGACAUGGUAGAGACUUGUUUGAUUAUUUGUAGUGCUGCCAGUACAGCAUGUUUAUUUUAUUUUGUUGUUUUUUUUUGUUUUAUGUAAUGUUAAUUCAAGUAAAGUUUGAUACAACAUAAUUAGACUGUUCAGAUCUGAUACCCUAGUGAACAAUGGGUUUGUAUAAAUAUAUUGUUAAUAAAACAACUUUCUCUAAUAUCCUGUCUGUAGUGUUGGUUCUAUUGUAGUUCAUAGUCUGGUAUUAACUUCUCAUUUUAAACGGUAAAUAUCUUGCAUAUAAUUAAUGGAUGGCUGUAUGUUUUCUGUUGAUAGCUUAUAGACUUUCAACUGUUAUCAACUGUUUUUCACUUUAAUUGGAUAGUCCUAAAAUAUAUCUACAAAUGCUUAGUUAAGAAUGUCUACUAAUGAUCUUCUGAACGUAAACUUUAGACUAGUUGACAAGCAACAGAUGCACAACCAAUG